GGAAUUUGUAAGUUGUAAAUUACUCAAAUGCAACAUAAACCAAUGUCAAAAACAUUUAAUCCAAACUGCUGCAAAGUAGCUUUAGUACAUUUGAUAUGUUGUGUGUAUGGAACCAAUCUUUUGAAAUAGUUCAGAAUUAGUUCUGCCAGAAUGAUACUUUUCUCUCAACCCCAACUGCUAACACAAUUAAAUUAACUUCCUGUAGGACGACGACAACGGGAAAAGACCGUAUGUGGCAUUGUAAAAUUUGUCAUCAGAUACGAUUAUAACCGAUGGACUUACUGAAUAAGCUUCGAAUGUACAUAGCUUGUAGUCCACUUGCUAAUAUAAGCAGAAGAUACUCUGCGACGGUGUAAAAUAUAACACGGUCCCUUGUGCUCUGGUUAGUACGACGAUGACGAGAAUCACGUGCUUUCAAGUAAUGCUGCUCUGCAGUAACUGACUCCAAUGCCUCUCUUAGUUCAGCAAUUUUGACAUUGACGGGGUCCAAAUGUUCAUCUUUAGCAAGGUCAUGCUCAUUGGAAAUGUGUCCAAUAUGUAUGUAGAACGAGACUGUUUCUGGCGAUGAAUGUGGAUUAUGAAAACAGAAAUUGUACAUCCCACUCCUUGGGGCCUUGAGUUCAAACUUAUCACCAGCUGUUCCCUUCAUUGUGUGCACGACAUUUCCUGAAGGCGAUGUCACAGUGAAAUCAAUGCCGGGAUGAUCCGAGUUCCAGAAGAUAUCAUGAUCUACAACAACGAAGUUCCCCGAAAUUGUAUCUCCUUCAUACAACACGUAAUCCUGAACACACUCUACGUCGUUUACCGUCACCGAUAACGCCGAUAGGUCGCCGACGAAGCUGAAUAAUAAAAUAGCUACCAAAGCUAAUACCUUGGAGCACUUCACUCCGUCUCCGAUUUCCAUCCCGUCCGACGAUUAACAAUUCGUUCUCGCCGGAAUUUUGGUAAUGCACAAUAUUUUUUGGGGAAUUGGGUCACUGGAACGGAGACGUGAAU
Molecule: unclassified non-coding RNA, 996 nt
Filed under: Hevea brasiliensis (rubber tree)
Lineage: Eukaryota; Viridiplantae; Streptophyta; Magnoliopsida; Malpighiales; Euphorbiaceae
Source: RNAcentral